Molecule: ribosomal RNA, 253 nt
Filed under: uncultured bacterium
Lineage: Bacteria
Description: partial 16S ribosomal RNA
Rfam family: Bacterial small subunit ribosomal RNA
Source: RNAcentral
GACGAACCGUACGAACGUUAUUCGGAAUUACUGGGCGUAAAGCGCGUGUAGGCGGCAGCGUGUGUCGGGCGUGAAAUCCCACGGCUCAACCGUGGAAGUGCACCCGAAACUGCGCAGCUAGAGUCCUGGAGAGGAAGGUGGAAUACUUGGUGUAGAGGUGAAAUUCGUAGAUAUCAAGUGGAACACCGGUGGCGAAGGCGGCCUUCUGGACAGUGACUGACGCUGAGACGCGAAAGCGUGGGGAGCAAACAGG